This 465-nucleotide ribosomal RNA is filed under the name Vreelandella stevensii. RNAcentral describes it as "partial 16S ribosomal RNA". It matches the Rfam family "Bacterial small subunit ribosomal RNA", at positions 338 to 795 of the family's 1533-position model. Lineage: Bacteria; Pseudomonadati; Pseudomonadota; Gammaproteobacteria; Oceanospirillales; Halomonadaceae. The record is from RNAcentral.
CCUACGGGGGGCAGCAGUGGGGAAUAUUGGACAAUGGGGGGAACCCUGAUCCAGCCAUGCCGCGUGUGUGAAGAAGGCCCUCGGGUUGUAAAGCACUUUCAGUGAGGAAGAACGCCUGGUGGUUAAUACCCAUCAGGAAAGACAUCACUCACAGAAGAAGCACCGGCUAACUCCGUGCCAGCAGCCGCGGUAAUACGGAGGGUGCGAGCGUUAAUCGGAAUUACUGGGCGUAAAGCGCGCGUAGGUGGCUUGAUAAGCCGGUUGUGAAAGCCCCGGGCUCAACCUGGGAACGGCAUCCGGAACUGUCAAGCUGGAGUGCAGGAGAGGAAGGUAGAAUUCCCGGUGUAGCGGUGAAAUGCGUAGAGAUCGGGAGGAAUACCAGUGGCGAAGGCGGCCUUCUGGACUGACACUGACACUGAGGUGCGAAAGCGUGGGUAGCAAACAGGAUUAGAUACCCUGGUAGUC